Molecule: long non-coding RNA, 916 nt
Filed under: Nicotiana benthamiana
Lineage: Eukaryota; Viridiplantae; Streptophyta; Magnoliopsida; Solanales; Solanaceae
Description: long non-coding RNA (NBEN_LNC013557)
Source: RNAcentral
GAAACUCCUUUGCACAUAGCAACAAUGCGUGGGCAUAUUGAGUUUGUGAAGUUAAUUCUGGCUCAAAAUCCUCAGCUUGCUGCUGAACUGGAUUCGCGACAGUCAUCAGCUCUUCACAUAGCUUCAGCUAAAGGACACCUACAAAUUAUCAAGAUGUUGUUAGUAGUGAAUCCUGAUAUAUGCUUAGCUCGUGAUCGCGAUGGUAGAAAUCCUCUCCAUCUAGCAGCCAUCAAAGGUCGAGUUAAAGUCAUCAAAGAACUAAUACAAAUCAGGCCUCGAGCAGCUCUAGGAACGACGAUCUAUGGGGAAAACGUUUUGCAUUUGUGUGUGAAGCAUAAUCAGCUGGAGGUUCUCAAGGUGCUGAUGGAGAUUGGAUCAUGGGACCAUGAAUUCUUGAAUGCAAAGGAUAGUGAUGCCUUCACCAUUCUGCAUUUGGCUGUUGCUGAUAAGCAAAUUGAGGUAUGCUAUUGUUCUUAGAAAAGAAAUUUACAUCGUUUUUUCUUAUAAUCGUAGUGUUCGGGCCAGCUUGUGUACACCACGAUUAAUUUUACGUGAUACCUGCUAAUUCUCACCUUAUGGUUCUCAACCUACUUCAUUGAUCGCUAGGUUGGCUGCGAAAUUAACUUCAUUUUCUUAUAGUUAUUAAACCACCUACCAUUCUUGCAGACUAUCAAAUACUUGCUAAAGACCAAUCAAAUAGAUGUGAAUGCAAUGGAUGCAAAUGGGAAUACAGCAUUAGAUAUUUUAGCACAGAGUAGGAGGGACAUGAUUGACCUACAAAUUGGAGACACUAUCAGAGAUGCUGGAGGCUUAAGAGCAAAGGAUAUCCAAAAUGAUAUCAAAAUUCCAAAUAAAUUAGCUGCAACUCCGCAUUCACUACCAGCCUCAACAACACCAGCAUAUUUAGGAGGAAAUC